Molecule: ribosomal RNA, 451 nt
Filed under: uncultured bacterium
Lineage: Bacteria
Description: bacterial SSU rRNA
Rfam family: Bacterial small subunit ribosomal RNA
Source: RNAcentral
AACGAACGCUGGCGGCAGGCUUAACACAUGCAAGUCGAACGGGCACCUUCGGGUGUCAGUGGCAGACGGGUGAGUAACGCGUGGGAACGUACCCUUCGGUUCGGAAUAACCCAGGGAAACUUGGGCUAACACCGGAUACGUCCGCAAGGAGAAAGAUUUAUCGCCGAAGGAUCGGCCCGCGUCGGAUUAGCUAGUUGGUGGGAUAAUGGCCCACCAAGGCGACGAUCCGUAGCUGGUCUGAGAGGAUGAUCAGCCACACUGGGACUGAGACACGGCCCAGACUCCUACGGGAGGCAGCAGUGGGGAAUAUUGGACAAUGGGCGAAAGCCUGAUCCAGCCAUGCCGCGUGAGUGAAGAAGGCCUUAGGGUUGUAAAGCUCUUUCAGCGGGAAGAUAAUGACGGUACCCGCAGAAGAAGUCCCGGCUAACUUCGUGCCAGCCGCCGCCGUAAC